GGCUCCCUUAACACUACCAAGCAAAUCAUUGAGGACUUAAAGAACAUUGACAUAGUCUUUCACAUUGGUGAUAUUGUUUACGCCAAUGGAUAUCUUUCUCAGUGGGAUCAAUUUACUUCUCAAGUAGAGCCAAUUACUUCAAGAGUACCAUACAUGAUUGCUAGCGGCAACCAUGAACGCGAUUGGCCUGAUAGUGGGUCAUUUUAUGGUAAAAAGGAUUCAGGUGGAGAGUGUGGUGUCUUGGCUCAGACAAUGUUCUAUUUUCCUGCCGAAAAUAGGGAUAAGUUCUGGUACUCUACUGAUUAUGGCAUGUUCAGAUUCUGUAUUGCUGAUACUGAACAUGAUUGGAGAGAGGGCACCGAACAAUAUAAGUUCCUUGAACACUGCUUCGCAUCUGUAGAUAGACAGAAACAGCCAUGGCUAAUCUUCCUUGCACAUAGGGUACUUGGUUACUCUUCUGGAGAUUUUUACGCUGAUGAAGGAUCAUUUGGAGAACCAAUGGGGAGGGACAGCCUUCAAAAGCUUUGGCAGAAGUAUAAAGUUGAUAUCGCCAUAUAUGGUCAUGUCCACAAUUACGAAAGAACAUGUCCCAUUUACCAGAAU
RNAcentral lists this unclassified non-coding RNA (603 nucleotides) under Hevea brasiliensis (rubber tree). The record is from RNAcentral. Lineage: Eukaryota; Viridiplantae; Streptophyta; Magnoliopsida; Malpighiales; Euphorbiaceae.